This 450-nucleotide ribosomal RNA is filed under the name uncultured bacterium. Its description in RNAcentral is "partial 16S ribosomal RNA". It matches the Rfam family "Bacterial small subunit ribosomal RNA", at positions 29 to 523 of the family's 1533-position model. The record is from RNAcentral.
AGCGAACAUUGGCGGUAGGCUUAACACAUGCAAGUCGAGCGAGGCGUAAUAGUCGAGCGGCGAACGGGUGCGUAAUACAUGGGAAUCUACCUCGAAGUGGGGGAUAACGUCCAGAAAUGGACGCUAAUACCGCAUAAUCCAUAUCGGGAAAGCGUUGCAGCGCUUUGAGAUGAGCCCAUGGCUGAUUAGCUUGCUGGUGAGGUAACGGCUCACCAAGGCGACGAUCAGUAGCUGGUCUGAGAGGAUGACCAGCCACACUGGAACUGAGACACGGUCCAGACUCCUACGGGAGGCAGCAGUGGGGAAUCUUGCGCAAUGGGGGCAACCCUGACGCAGCCAUACCGCGUGAGUGAUGAAGGUCUUCGGAUUGUAAAGCUCUUUCGGCAGGGACGACGAUGACGGUACCUGCAAAAGAAGUCACGGCUAACUUCGUGCCAGCAGCCGCCGCAG